GAUGAACGCUGGCGGCGUGCCUAAUACAUGCAAGUCGAGCGAACGGACGAGGAGCUUGCUUCUUUGACGUUAGCGGAGGACGGGUGAGUAACACGUGGAUAACCUACCUAUAAGACUGAGAAAACUUCGGAAAACCGGAGCUAAUACCGUAUAAUAUUUUGAACCGCAUGGUUCAAUAGUGAAAGACGGUCUUGCUGUCACUUAUAGAUGGAUCCGCGCUGCAUUAGCUAGUUGGUAAGGUAACGGCUUACCAAGGCAACGAUGCAUAGCCGACCUGAGAGGGUGAUCGGCCACACUGGAACUGAGACACGGACCAGGCUCCUACGGGAGGGAGCAGUAGGGAAUCGUCCGCAAUGGGCGAAAGCCUGACGGAGCAACGCCGCGUGAGUGAUGAAGGUCUUCGGAUCGUAAAACUCUGUUAUUAGGGAAGAACAUAUGUGUAAGUAACUGUGCACAUCUUGACGGUACCUAGUCAGAAAGCCACGGCUAACUACGUG
RNAcentral lists this ribosomal RNA (497 nucleotides) under uncultured bacterium. RNAcentral describes it as "partial 16S ribosomal RNA". It matches the Rfam family "Bacterial small subunit ribosomal RNA", at positions 28 to 507 of the family's 1533-position model. The record is from RNAcentral.